UUUAUUUGGUGUUGAGUUCAUCCUUACUGUGAAGAACCAAAUACUGAACUAGCCAGACUCAUGUAACAGGUGUAAGUUGUGAAGCCAGAUGGUGACAUGGACACUUGUCGUCCUCCCCUCUAGCUGGGAGCUAGAACAGGCCAAUACCAUUUUCUGUUCCUCCCGCUUUUUUUUGCCAUUUAUUUGAGAGGCAGAGAGACAGAACUGCCAUCUGCUGGUUCAUUCCCCACAUGUUCAUUGUGGUUGGGGCUGAGCAGAGGCCCGAGCAGGGAGCUGGGAAGUCAGUCCAGGUCCGCUAGGUGAGAAAGGGGACCCACGCACUUGAGCUACUACUGCCGCCUUCCAGGGUGUGCGUUGGCAGGAGAUGGAGUCCGAAGCAGAACUGGGGCCCCAGACCGAGGCACUCUGAGAAGGGAUACCAGGUCCCAAGUGACAUCUCAGCUGUUGUACCACAUUUUUCUUCUCCACCCACCAAUCCAUGCCAGCGUCUUUUUUUUUUUUUUUUUUUUUUAAGAUUUACUUAAUAGUUUUUAUUUGAGAAGUAGAGUUACAGACAGGGAGAGAUAGAAAGGUGUGCCAUCCACUGGUUCACUCCCCAGAUGGCCAUAAUGGCCAUAGCUGGGCCGAUCUGAAGCCAGGAGCCAGGAGCCUUCUUCCUGGUCUCCCUCAUGGGUGCAUGGGCCCAAGCACUUAGGCCAUAUCCUGUUUUCCUAGACCAUAGCAGAGAUAGAUUAGAAGAGGAGCAGUGGGGACUCAACUGGCAUGUGGGGAGCAACUCAGACUAGACUAAGUUACUGGAAUUAAGACUUAUUCUAUGCAUCUGCUCUCCCACAAUAUGGCGCUGGGAGAGGAGAAAAUAGCUUCUACACAGCUGCCUCCAGUUCAGCCAAUAAACUGUAGGACUUGCUCCUGAUUGGAGGAGAGCAGCGUACUCAGCAUGUGGGCAGCCGAGUUGGGAUUGGCGGAGGAGGACUAUAAAGGAGGAGAGAAACGGCAUGCACCAGGAACAUCUAAGGGGAACAUCUAAGGGGAACACCUGUGCAGCCCCCGAGAGAGCCGGCCGGCGGUGUGCCGCUCCCCUGCGGAAGUGGGGAAAGUGGCCAGGGGGAACCGCCCUUCCACGGAGGUGGAAGGGACAGUAGCCAACCCGGGAAGAACCAGCAGCAAACCCGGGGAGGGCCGAGCAGACAAAAGAACAGCGCAGGGUCCUGUGUCGUUCCUCCACGAAGAGGGGGAGCGACACUGGCAUGCCACCGCCACAGGCAGAGUCUUAGCCUACUACAUCACUGGCCCCCAUGCCAGUAUCUUUUUUUUUUUUGACAGGCAGAGUGGACAGUGAGAGAGAGAGACAGAGAGAAAGGUCUUCCUUUUGCCGUUGGUUCACCCUCCAAUGGCCGCCAUGGCCAGCGUGCUGUGACCAGCACACCACACUGAUCCGAUGGCAGGAGCCAGGUACUUAUCCUGGUCUCCCAUGGGGUGCAGGGCCCAAGUACUUGGGCCAUCCUCCACUGCACUCCCUGGCCACAGCAGAGAGCUGGCCUGGAAGAGGGGCAACCGGGACAGAAUCCGGCGCCCCGACCGGGACUAGAACCCGGUGUGCCGGCGCCGCAAGGCGGAGGAUUAGCCUAGUGAGCCGCGGCGCCUGCCCCCAUGCCAGUAUCUUAACCAGGGUGGGUAACUGUUAGCCCAGACACCUGCCCUAGCAGUAAUGCCUUUUUGUGUCUUUGUAGCUACCACUUCAUUGCUUCCUUAAAUUUUGUAUUUUUCCUUUUAGUAAUAUUUUUGUUAGGUUUUAUUUCUUUUAUUGUGUUUUUGAGUUUUAUAAAAAUGAUUUCAUAGUAUAGAUAGCCUUCAACAACUUUUUUUGUUCAGUAUUUAUUCAAGUUGUUUGGUAUCAUUUGUUUUCAUUGCUGCUUAAAAUAUAUUGUAAGCUAUCCUUUCUUUGUAGGCAUUUGGAUUACUUUUAGGUCUCUUUGUUUAUAAUUAUGAACAAUAUUAUGGCUUUUUAACCAUCUUUUGUCACAUGUAAGGAUUUCUCUAGGCUGUGCUGCCAGGAGAGGGAUGGCUGGCUGGCAUGCAUGGGAUGCCUCUAUUCUUCCGGGUAGUUUCUGAGAUGUUGUCCUGUUUGUGCUUGUGUUGCUGGCUUGAGUGGACCCAUUAGUUUCCACCCACAUUAACAGUGCAUAUACCCCCACCAGCACUUGCCAUUAUUGGACUGUUGACAUUUUGUGAUUUCAAAGUCUUCAUUAUGGUCCCAGUUUACAUUUGUUUAGUUUUCAGUAGUAGUAAUAUCUUACACAUGUUAGUAAAUGCAUUUACAGUAUCGUUUUCUCAACCUUUAUUUCAUUAUUACCCUGAAAAGCAGCCUUUUGUAGACCUUUCUUACUAAUCGUCACCCCACACCGCCAUUGGCUUUUGGUACCUGAUAACCUGCAUAUCUGUUUAUAUACUGUGACCCAUUGCCAGGCCCAGACGAUCGUCACAUCAGAUGCCUUCACGCUUUCCGACCAGUUUUCACUUCUGGCUCCCUUGAGAAUGCAUGCUUUAGAGCGAUUCCAUUUCAGUUGUUUUGUCUUUCAUCCUCUCUUGCUGGUGUGGCUAGGGAUCGGCAGAGGGGUUGGAUGCCUUUCAGGUUCCUGAGAGAAGCCUGGAAGGAGACAACGGAGUGUGGUGUGAGGGAACUUGGGCGGAAAAGCACAGAACCCAGGGUGGGCCUUGUGCGCUGGGUUAAGCUGCCACUGGGGAUGCCUGCAUCUCAUGUCCCAGUGCCGGGGUGUGAGUUCCCCAAGUUGGAACCCCCCCAAAAACGAGUUUAUCACGUUGAGAUCUGAUAAAACCCAGAAGCUGUGAGAAAAAGAUGGAUACAUUUGGUUGGAUAAAAUCUUAACUUAUUAGUACCUCAAAAAUUCCCACGUAAGGUGGGGCGGGAGACUCAGGAGGAUACAGUGAGAGGUGUAGAUGUUCAGUCAUCUGGAGUCUGCAGGAGUGACACAGGGUGGGGACUAGCUAAUAACAUGUCGCUCCCUUGAAGGUUGCUAACAGAAUUGAAUUAAGUAUUCUCGGACACGAGGUGAUGGAUGCGUCAGUUAUCCUGGCUGUAGUACUCAUUUCACAAUGUGUACAUAUAUCAGAACAUACUGUAACUGUGUGAUUUUGUUAAUCAUACUUUUAUUUUUUAUUUUUUUUUAUUUUUUAUUUUUUGACAGAGUGGACAGUGAGAGAGAGCGAGAGAGAGAAAGGUCUUCCUUUUGCCGUUGGUUCACCCUCCAAUGGCUGCCGCGGCCUGUGCGCUGCGGCCAGCGCACUGCGCUGAUCCGAAGGCAGAAGCCAGGUGCUUAUCCUGGUCUCCCAUGGGGUGCAGGGCCCAAGCACUUGGGCCAACCUCCACUGAACUCCCGGGCCAUAGCAGAGAGCUGGCCUGGAAGAGGGGGCAACCGGGACAGAAUCCGGCGCCCCGACCGGGACUAGAACCUGGUGUGCCGGCGCCGCUAGGUGGAUUAACCUAUUGAGCCGCGGAGCCAGCCUAAUCAUACUUUUAAAAAGCUGCAUAGGCCGGCGCCGCGGCUCACUAGGCUAAUCCUCCGCCUAGCGGCGCCGGCACACCGGGUUCUAGUCCCAGUGGGGGCGCCGGAUUCUGUCCCGGUUGCCCCUCUUCCAGGCCAGCCCUCUGCUGUGGCCAGGGAGUGCAGUGGAGGAUGGCCCAGGUGCUUGGGCCCUGCACCCCAUGGGAGACCAGGAAAAGCACCUGGCUCCUGGCUCCUGCCAUCGGAUCAGCGCGGUGCGCCGGCCGCAGCGCGCCGGCCGCGGCGGCCAUUGGAGGGUGAACCAACGGCAAAGGAAGACCUUUCUCUCUGUCUCUCUCUCUCACUGUCCACUCUGCCUGUCAAAAAAAAAAAAAAAAAAAAAAAGCUGCAUAAGCAUUUACAUGGAGAUCAGUGAACUAGGACAGAUGAUUCGCAGUGUACUUGAGGGUGACUGGUUUCCUUCAUGUAUGAGAUUCUUCAAGACAGGGGCAGUGGGUAGACGCACUGGAUAAGGGCAAAAAAGGACAUGAUUUUGCUGUGUGUAUCUGAUCUUGGGGCAGGUGCUCACCCUGACUCAGAACUAAGGAGGUAGAGAGAUGGGUAACCUGGGAAGAUGUGAAAACACACCCAGCGGUGUGGGUGCUGACAGCUCUCUGACUGUAGCCUUGCGUACGCAGAAUACUCCUGCGGAAGGCAGGAACCCAGCAAGUAGACUCGCCCUGAAAGGGAGGGGCUGAAUCGUAGCUCCUCCUUUCAGUGGAAUGAUUGACAGCUGGGAAGAGAGAACGAAGCAGCUGCGUACCCACGUGGGAGUACCCCUGAGGAGGUUAUGGGGAGAAGCACAGUGUGGUUUGGAUUCUUCCGUAGUGUUUUGUUUCUAAAUCUAUCUCUUUUUUUAAAAGAUUUAUGUAUUUGAAAGAAUGACAGAGUAGGGAGAGACAGCAUAAGAGAUUGUCCCUCUGCUGGUUCAUUCCCCAGGUGACUGCAAUAGGCAGGUGUGGGUCAGACUGAAACCAGUAGCUAGGGAGUCCGUUCUAGUCUCCCAUGUGGUUGGCAGAGGCCCAAGCGUUGGUCCUUCAUGUGCUGCCUUCCAGGCACGUUGGGGAGUUGGAUUGCAAAUGGACUAGCCCAGAGGUGAACCUGUGCUCUGAAACGGAACGCUGGCUCUGAAAAAACAUUGGCUUAACCUGCUAUGCCACAACCCCAGCUGAUUUUUUUCUUUUUUAAGAUCGUGUAUUUGAGAGAGAGACGGGGAGAGACAGAGGUGUUCCGUCCACUGGUUCAGUCUCUAAAUGCCCACAGCAGCUGGGACUGAGCCAGGAGUCCUGUAUGUCAGCUGGGUCUUCACCGUGGGCAUCAGGGACUCAAGUACUUGAGCCACCAUCUGCUGCUUCCCAGGUACAAUCGCAGGAAGCUGGAAUGGAAAUGGAGGAGCUGGGACUGGAACAAGGAACUACAGUGUGGGAUGUGGCGUUCCAAGCAUCAGUUUAACCCGCAACACGCCCCUGGUGUUUGUUGUUGUUUCUUAUUUGAGAGGCAGAGAAGGGGUCAAAAAAAUAAAAAAAAAGAAAGAAAAAACUUAGGUUUAAAAGGCAGAGUUAGAUGGAGAAACAGAGAGAUCUUCCAUCUGCUGGUCACUCCUCAAAUGGCCACAAAGGCCAAGGCUGGAUCAGGCUGAAACCAGGAGCUUAGAACUCCGUCUGGGUCUCACGUGUGGGUGACAGGGGCCCAAGCACUAGGGCCAUCACCUGCUGUUCCCCAGGCCAUUCACUUGGCUGGAAGCCGAGCAGCUGGGGCUGACUGGUGCUCAUGUGGGAUGCUCGCAUCGCAGGCGGCAGCAGACCCUGUGCCACAGUGCAUGCUCCCUCCCAGUGGGUGCUGGGUGCUGCUGCUGGCUUUUUUUUUUUUUAAUAUUUAUUUAUCUAUUUGAAAAGCAAAGAGUUACAGAGAGGCAGAGGCAGAGAGACAGAAAUCUUCCAUCCGCUGGUUUACUCCUCAAGUGGCCAGAGCUGGGCUGAUCAGGAGCUUCCUCCAGGUCUCUCACGAGGGUGCAGGGGCCCAAGGACUUGGGCCAUCUUCCACUGCUUUCCCAGGCCACAGCAGAGAGCUGGAUUGGAAGUGGAGCAGCUAGGACUCAAGCUGGUACCCAUAUGGGAUGCCGGCACUGCAGGCAGCAGCUUUACCCAUUAAGCCACAGUGCCGGCCCCAAGGAUACUUCUUUUUUUAAAAAAGAUGUAUUUAUUUGAAAGGCACAUAUAGAGAAAGAGAGCGAGAUCUUCCAUUCACUGCUUCACUCCUCAAAUGGCUGCAAUAACUGGAGCUGGGCUGAGCUACAAGGUAGCAGCCAGAGCUGCUUCUAGGUCUCACGUGGGUGGCAGGGCCCAAGUGAUGGGGCUUUCACUGCUCCCAGGCACAUCACUCGGAGCUGUGCUGGAAGUGGAUCAGCCAUACGGAGUGCUGCAGCUGUAGGCAGCAGCUUUACCCUCUGCGCCACAGCGCCAGCCCCUGUGGAUGCUUCUGUGUAGCACUGAGCAGUCACUUCUCCACGCAGGUUAGGGUUACCUGUAAGCCCUGACAGGUUCAGAAAUUAAUAUCAUUAUUUUUAUUUUAUUUGAAAGGCAGGUAGAGGUGUCUUCCAUCCACUGAUUCACAUCCUGCAUCAGGUGGGCCUGAGCCAUGCUGAAGGUGGGAUCCUGUGUCUCCCACAAAGGUGGCAGGGACCUGAGUCCUUGGCCAUUGGGCACCCCUCUCAGCGUGUUCGUUAGCAGGAAGUCCUGAGAGCGGACAGGAUGCCAGCUGGCACUCUGAUGUAGUACAAGGUGUCUUCACUGGUGUUUCAAUGGCUAUACUGAAUGCCCACACCUAAAAUAUAUUUGUUUGUUUUUUCAACGAAUGGUAUUUUUUAAAAAACCUUAUCUUUUUUUAAGAUUUAUUUAUUUGAAAGGCAGAGCAAUAGGGAGAGAAGGAGACAGAAAAAGAGAGCUUCCAUCUGCGUGUUCAUUCCCUAAAUGCCUGCUACUGCAAGACUGAGCCAGGUGGAAGCCCAGAACUCCAUCUAGGUCUCCCACAUGGGUGGGACUCGCAGGGAACCAGUUACUUGGGCUGUUGUCCACGACCUCCCAAGGUGCAGUUUAGCCCGAAGUUUGAAUUGGACGUAGAACCAGGAUUGGAAUCCAGGAGCUGUGUUGUGGGAUGUGGGUGUCAGAAGCAACAGCGGAACCCACUACACCACCAUGCUGGCUCCAGCAGCCCGGUUCUUAAAUGCUGUACACUGAUCACCCACCUGGAUGGCAGGGGCCCAAGCACUUGGACCAUCUUGCACUGCCAUGAGCAGGGAACAGGAUCACAAGUGGAACAGCUGGGAUACGAACCAGACCCCAUAUAGGAUGUCAGUGUCCAGGCGGUGGCUUUACUCACUGUACCACAGCUGACUGGCCAUGGUUGGUUGACCUUUUAACCGUUUCAGUGUUGGGGCACAGCGGGCUGAGCCACUGCCUACAGCACUCCAGUUAAAGUCCUGGCUGCUACAUUUUAAGGAUUUAUUUUUUGAAAGAGAGGAGAGGGCCAGCGUCGUGGCUUACUUGGUUAAUCCUCUGCCUGCGGCGCUGGCAUCCUAUAGGGGCAACCGGGACAGAAUCCAGUGCCCCGACCGGGACUAGAACCCGGUGUGCUGGUGCUGCAAGGCGGAGGAUUAGCCUAGUGAACCCUGGGGCAGGCCUCCUUUAUUUAUUUUAAAGGCAGAGUUACAGAGAGGCAGAGGUCUUCAUCAGCUGGUUCACUCCCCAAAUGGCCACAGGGCUGGAGCUGUGCCGAUUAGGAGCCAGGAGCUUCUUCCGGGUCUCCCACGCAGGUGCAGGGGCCCAAGGACUUGGGCCAUCUGUACUACUUUCCCAGGCCACAACAGAGAGCUGCAUCAGAAGUGGAGCAGCCAAGGGGCUGGUGCUGUGGCGCAGUAGGCUAAUCCUCUGCUGCAGUGCUAGCAUCUCUUUGAGUGCCAGUUCUCUAAGAUUGAUUUAUUUAUUUAUUUGAAAGGCAAGAGUUAGAGAGGCAGAGGGAGCGAGAGAUAUCUUAAAUCUGCUGGUUCAUUUCCCAAUUGGCUGCAGUGGCCGGAGCUGUGCCAAUAUGAAGCCAGGAGCUUCUUCCAGGUCUCUCACGUGGGUGCCGCAGCCGAAGCACUUGGGCCAUCUUCUGCUGUCCCAGGCCAUAGCAGAGGGCUGGAUUGGAAGCAGAGCAGCCGGGACUUGAACUGGCACCCACAUGGGAUGCCAGCACCGCAGGCGCCGGCCCCAGUGGUUUGUUUUAAGACACUUCUUUUUGUAGAAAAUUUCCAGUAUGAAAGUAAAAGUAAUUGCAAAAUGAAUUGGUCACUGUGUGCCCAUCGCCUACCUUCAGCUGUGAUGAGCGCAGGGCCAGAUAUGUCUCCCCUUUGUUCCCACUUCUCAGGAAACUCAGACUUUCCAGGACUUGAGGUUUCAUCUAUAAAUAGUUCAGAUUUUGAAGUUCCCUUUACCCGUAUACAAAACCUGGAAUAUCCUUGGUUGUAAUCGAAUCUACUUAGCAUCUUUUUUUUUUAUUUUUAAUGUAUGGGAAAAUUUACAGAUUUGAGCAGAGUAGUUAAUGACACUUACUGACACGACGACUAUUUUGUUUUAUCUUUAUCUUGCUGUCUUUUUUUUCCUGACUGGAUCUUUGCAACAUAUUUUUUGUUGUUGUUUAUUUGAAAGGCAUGUGAGAGAGGUUUCUUCUGUUUUCUGGUUCACACCCUGAAAGCCUGCAACAGCUAGAGCUGGAAGCCAGGAGCUUGGAACUCAGUCCCGGUCUCCCAUGGGAGAGGCAAGGACCGAGUACUUGGCCUCAGCUGCUGCUUCCAGCGUGUGUGUUAGAGACGGGUGGGCUGGGAAGUGCAUGCAGGACCUGAACCCAGCGGCUUCCCUGGGGCGGGGGCAUCCUUGCAGCAUCUUCUGCCGAGCCAAAGGCCCCUCCCUGCUGGCUUGUUUUAUAGCCGCUCAUGGAGAGAGAACUCCUUCCGUAAGUACUGCAGACUGUGUGUCCAAGGCAUACAGAUUACACUGCUGCUUGACAGUUGUGAAUGUCACAUUCAUUCUGGGAAAAUGUCUGAUUGCCUCAAAACUUUUUAAUAGUUUGACCCAGGAUGUAAAGGGUUAUACACCAGAAUGCUUUUGUAAGUCUUUUUAAUCAAAUUGUUGAAUUAAAUUUUAAAGCUUUUCUUU
Molecule: non-coding RNA, 8755 nt
Organism: Oryctolagus cuniculus (rabbit)
Lineage: Eukaryota; Metazoa; Chordata; Mammalia; Lagomorpha; Leporidae
Source: RefSeq, a predicted model, not a curated record